GACGAACGCUGGCGGCGUGCUUAACACAUGCAAGUCGAACGGAAAGGCCCUGCUUUUGUGGGGUGCUCGAGUGGCGAACGGGUGAGUAACACGUGAGUAACCUGCCCUUGACUUUGGGAUAACUUCAGGAAACUGGGGCUAAUACCGGAUAGGAGCUCCUGCUGCAUGGUGGGGGUUGGAAAGUUUCGGCGGUUGGGGAUGGACUCGCGGCUUAUCAGCUUGUUGGUGGGGUAGUGGCUUACCAAGGCUUUGACGGGUAGCCGGCCUGAGAGGGUAACCGGCCACAUUGGGACUGAGAGACGGCCCAGACUCCUACGGGAGGCAGCAGUGGGGAAUAUUGCACAAUGGGCGGAAGCCUGAUGCAGCAACGCCGCGUGCGUGAUGACGGCCUUCGGGUUGUAAACCGCUUUCGCCUGUGACGAAGCGUGAGUGACGGUAAUGGGUAAAGAAGCACCGGCUAACUACGUG
Molecule: ribosomal RNA, 468 nt
Filed under: uncultured bacterium
Lineage: Bacteria
Description: partial 16S ribosomal RNA
Rfam family: Bacterial small subunit ribosomal RNA
Source: RNAcentral